This 468-nucleotide ribosomal RNA is filed under the name uncultured bacterium. RNAcentral's name for it is "partial 16S ribosomal RNA". It matches the Rfam family "Bacterial small subunit ribosomal RNA", at positions 28 to 507 of the family's 1533-position model. The record is from RNAcentral.
GACGAACGCUGGCGGCGUGCUUAACACAUGCAAGUCGAACGGAAAGGCCCUGCUUUUGUGGGGUGCUCGAGUGGCGAACGGGUGCGUAACACGUGAGUAACCUGCCCUUGACUUUGGGAUAACUUCAGGAAACUGGGGCUAAUACCGGAUAGGAGCUCCUGCUGCAUGGUGGGGGUUGGAAAGUUUCGGCGGUUGGGGAUGGACUCGCGGCUUAUCAGCUUGUUGGUGGGGUAGUGGCUUACCAAGGCUUUGACGGGUAGCCGGCCUGAGAGGGUGACCGGCCACAUUGGGACUGAGAUGCGGCCCAGACUCCUACGGGAGGCAGCAGUGGGGAAUAUUGCACAAUGGGCGGAAGCCUGAUGCAGCAACGCCGCGUGCGGGAUGACGGCCUUCGGGUUGUAAACCGCUUUCGCCUGUGACGAAGCGUGAGUGACGGUAAUGGGUAAAGAAGCACCGGCUAACUACGUG